AUGAUGAACUCGAGGGUGGCGAUGGCCGCGUGGUGGGUUUGUGGACUCCUCCCGCUUCUGCUGCUGGCGGUGGCCGCGGAUGGGGACUCGGAGCCGCUGAUCCGGCUGCCGACGGAGAACGGGCAUGCCCCUGCCCCUGCGCCUGGCCCUGCCGCGUCAGCGCCGGAGGAAGGGGUGACGAAGUGGGCCGUGCUCGUUGCGGGCUCCUCCGGCUACGAGAACUACCGGCACCAGCGUGUGCUUGCUCAACGAUUAUUUGUGGUGCUGUUGAUGCACGACGACGACGUACAGGCCGAUGUAUGUCACGCGUACCAGAUCCUGAAGAAGGGAGGACUCAAGGAUGAGAACAUAGUGGUUUUUAUGUACGACGAUAUCGCCAACAGCCCUGAAAACCCAAGGCGUGGGGUCGUCAUCAACCAUCCUAAAGGCAAAGAUGUUUACCAUGGUGUUCCCAAGGAUUACACCGGUGAGCACGUCACUGCUAAAAACUUGUAUGCGGUUCUCUUGGGGAACAAAACUGCGGUCACCGGAGGGAGUAGGAAGGUGAUAAACAGCAAACCGAAUGAUCACAUCUUCAUCUACUACACGGAUCAUGGGGGUGCUGGUUCACUUGGUAUGCCCAACGUGCCGUUUGUUUAUGCUGGCGACUUCAUCAAAGUGUUACGGCAAAAGCAUGCUUCCAAAAGCUAUUCGAAAAUGAUCAUAUAUGUUGAAGCGUGUGAGAGUGGCAGCAUCUUUGAGGGUUUAAUGCCACAAGAUCACAAUAUUUAUGUUACAACAGCAGCAAAUGCGGAAGAAAGUAGCUGGGCAGCAUACUGCCCUGGGAUGGAAGUACCACCUCCUUCUGAAUACAAGACCUGUUUAGGUGACGCAUACAGUGUGUCUUGGAUGGAAGACAGUGAAACUCACAAUCUGAAGAAGGAAAGCAUCAAGCAGCAGUACGAGGUGGUUAAAGCGAGAACGGCACCCCCAAACGAGUCCAGUAUUGGCUCUCAUGUCAUGGAGUAUGGUGACAAGACAUUCAAGGGUGACAUGCUUUUCCUCUAUCAAGGUUUCGAUCCUGCAAAGUCAUACUCCAGUUAUUUCAGGCAGCGUUUGCCCAGCCUCAAGGGUGCAAUCAAUCAAAGAGAUGCCGACAUUCUUUUCAUGUGGAAGAAGUAUGAGCAGUUAAAUGGUGGAUCAGAGGAGAAGCAGAGGGCUCUCACGGAGAUCAAAGAAACUGUGCUACACAGGAAGCAUCUCGACAGCAGUAUCGAUUUCAUCGGGAAGCUUGUCUUUGGAUUCGAAAAGGGUCCUUCAGUGCUUGACGCUGCUAGAGGCUCUGGCCAGCCAUUGGUCGACGAUUGGGAUUGUCUGAAGACGAUGGUGCGAAUUUUCGAGUCUCAGUGCGGAUCACUCACUCAGUAUGGCAUGAAGCACAUGAGGGCGUUCGCCAACAUAUGCAACAAUGGCGUCUCCGAGGCCGAGAUGAAGGAGGCAAGCAUCAGCGCUUGCGACGAUUACGACAUGGGGAAGUGGAGCCCGCUGGUUCGAGGGCACAGCGCCUGA
RNAcentral lists this ribosomal RNA (1548 nucleotides) under Triticum aestivum (bread wheat). Its description in RNAcentral is "partial small subunit ribosomal RNA". The record is from RNAcentral. Lineage: Eukaryota; Viridiplantae; Streptophyta; Magnoliopsida; Poales; Poaceae.